UUCCUACGGGGGGCUGCAGUGGGGAAUAUUGGACAAUGGGGGCAACCCUGAUCCAGCAAUGCCGCGUGAGUGAUGAAGGCCUUCGGGUUGUAAAGCUCUUUCGCCCACGACGAUGAUGACGGUAGUGGGAGAAGAAGCCCCGGCUAACUUCGUGCCAGCAGCCGCGGUAAUACGAAGGGGGCUAGCGUUGUUCGGAAUGACUGGGCGUAAAGGGCGCGUAGGCGGCGCAUCAAGUCGGGCGUGAAAGCCCCGGGCUCAACCUGGGAACUGCGUCCGGGACUGAUGUGCUGGAGUUCGGGAGAGGAGAGUGGAAUUCCCAGUGUAGAGGUGAAAUUCGUAGAUAUUGGGAAGAACACCAAUGGCGAAGGCAGCUCUCUGGACCGAUACUGACGCUGAGGCGCGAAAGCGUGGGGAGCAAACAGGAUUAGAUACCCCAGUAGUCG
This 443-nucleotide ribosomal RNA is filed under the name uncultured Rhodospirillaceae bacterium. RNAcentral describes it as "bacterial SSU rRNA". It matches the Rfam family "Bacterial small subunit ribosomal RNA", at positions 336 to 796 of the family's 1533-position model. Lineage: Bacteria; Pseudomonadati; Pseudomonadota; Alphaproteobacteria; Rhodospirillales; Rhodospirillaceae. The record is from RNAcentral.